Molecule: non-coding RNA, 45 nt
Filed under: Schistosoma margrebowiei
Lineage: Eukaryota; Metazoa; Platyhelminthes; Trematoda; Strigeidida; Schistosomatidae
Source: RNAcentral
AUUCAGCUGAAGAGUCACAUAUAAGUCGAAACGCGUUUCCUGGAU